RNAcentral lists this ribosomal RNA (253 nucleotides) under uncultured bacterium. RNAcentral's name for it is "partial 16S ribosomal RNA". It matches the Rfam family "Bacterial small subunit ribosomal RNA", at positions 524 to 776 of the family's 1533-position model. The record is from RNAcentral.
UACGGGGGGGGCAAGCGUUGUUCGGAAUUACUGGGCGUAAAGGGCUCGUAGGCGGCCAACUAAGUCAGACGUGAAAUCCCUCGGCUUAACCGGGGAACUGCGUCUGAUACUGGAUGGCUUGAGUUUGGGAGAGGGAUGCGGAAUUCCAGGUGUAGCGGUGAAAUGCGUAGAUAUCGAGAGGAACACCUGCGGCGAAGGCGGGUUGCUGGGCUGAUACUGACGCUGAGGCGCGAAAGCCAGGGGAGCGAACGGG